RNAcentral lists this long non-coding RNA (337 nucleotides) under Fukomys damarensis (Damara mole-rat). RNAcentral's name for it is "lncRNA (ENSFDAG00000032951.1)". The record is from RNAcentral. Lineage: Eukaryota; Metazoa; Chordata; Mammalia; Rodentia; Bathyergidae.
UUUACACAAGCCCAGAUCACACUCUCUGGCUCCACAGUUUGAGCUAGAUAUGCAUUUGAAGAGAGAGCUCCUUCAACUCUGAAUCAAAUAUGUGGACUAAGAGAAUGUUUUCAAUUAUUUAAUUAUGUCAGAAAGGAUAACCUUUUUUUUGUCUUCCGGGCAUGUAGGUAAUUCAAAUGAGCGCAGACAUCUGGGAUAAAACAAAAAGGCUUGAUUGGAGCUUUGGCAGAAUGGACAGCCCUUGUACCAGAAAAAGACAUUACUUUCAGUUUUGGGUUGCGAGAGUUUCAGGGCAAUAGACAUGCCUUCCUUCUCUUUGGACCUUCUCUGUGGCCGC